GAUGAACGCUGGCGGCGUGCCUAAUACAUGCAAGUCGAGCGAACAGAUGAGGAGCUUGCUCCUCUGACGUUAGCGGCGGACGGGUGAGUAACACGUGGAUAACCUACCUAUAAGACUGGGAUAACUUCGGGAAGCCGGAGCUAAUACCGGAUAAUAUAUUGAACCGCAUGGUUCAAUAGUGAAAGACGGUUUUGCUGUCACUUAUAGAUGGAUCCGCGCCGCAUUAGCUAGUUGGUAAGGUAACGGCUUACCAAGGCAACGAUGCGUAGCCGACCUGAGAGGGUGAUCGGCCACACUGGAACUGAGACACGGUCCAGACUCCUACGGGAGGCAGCAGUAGGGAAUCUUCCGCAAAGGGCGAAAGCCUGACGGAGCAACGCCGCGUGAGUGAUGAAGGUCUUCGGAUCGUAAAACUCUGUUAUUAGGGAAGAACAAAUGUGUAAGUAACUAUGCACGUCUUGACGGUACCUAAUCAGAAAGCCACGGCUAACUACGUG
Molecule: ribosomal RNA, 497 nt
Filed under: uncultured bacterium
Lineage: Bacteria
Description: partial 16S ribosomal RNA
Rfam family: Bacterial small subunit ribosomal RNA
Source: RNAcentral